UGCAAAGUCAUACGAAUCAUAUCAAUUACUUUAAAGUAAGGAACAUCUGGUUAACAUCUAAAAUAUAACGUAUUUUAAGUAUUUAUCUAGAGGAAAAAGAGGGGAAAACAAGUGUGUUGAUCACUAAGAUAUGUUUUCAUACACAAAACUGUUGUCUAAAUCAGGUCCAUUGAUUACCAAUAUAAGAAACCUAUGUGGACUUCUUAAAGGUUCAUGAAUAAGAUGGUGAUACAGGUCUAUCAGAUCCUGUAUCUGCUAAUCAGAUCAGAUCCCUCAAACCAUUAUGUAAUGGUGUUGUCAUAGAUAGAUGAACUGAAAAGAAUCAAGGUCAUUCUAAAUAUUGUUGCUGACACUGAUUUUUGAUAGGAGCACAGCGUAGAACACAUUUUAAUUUUUUUUCACUGCAGCCAGAUCUGAUAUAUAUGUAGGUAUAUUACUUUACAACUCCACUGCAAGAAAAUACAGAAUAAAAUCAUUCGUCAUUUGAUAUCAAAGGUUGUGCCUGCAGUGGAAAUAAUUCAUAUUCAUAGAUCAGCCCUGAAAUCUGAAGAUUAAAAAAAACUAGAAAUAGGAUGUUCUAGAAGCAAAGUAUUCAAAUUAUGGUAAAAUAUAUAACUGUUUUUAUUUCCUAGGCAACAGUUAAAAAAAUAUUCUGGAGAUCGCAGUCAAUUAAAUUACACAUAGAAAUUAAAAGGACCCUUGCCUUGUUGCCUAACCACAAUGUUGAAUUACAUCAGAAGAUUGAAAGAAAAGAAAAAAAAACACUUUCCUUCUUUGGAAUAAAAGCCGACAACAGAUAUAAUGGGAAUGAACCAAAAUUCCCCUGCAUUCGCCAUGCUGACUGAAGCACUGGAAGUUGUCAUUCAGCAGGAUCCGGAGGACCCACGAUUCUCCUGUGUUCUUGAUCCAGCACCAGUCUCCUCAGAAACAUGGCAUUAGAAGUUGGACUUCUCUAGUAAUAUCAAGAGAAAUUAAAAGCUAACAACAUUGAGGUAGGAAGAACCAUGGUGGAACUCAGCUGACCUUCUGUGGGAGGGAGGGUGUGAGCUGGAGCCCAGAAAAUCUUUGGAAGUGAAGCAAAGUCCUGCUUGAACAUCUUUAUCCUUAAGCUGUCUUCUAAAAUGCUUCCAUUUUAGAAUGCUGUUCCCAGAUUCUAAGGUCUUGACUGAGUGCUCUACAGUUUGCUGCUGGAUUGUCCUCCUUCAGUCAUGUGGCACCCUACAGGAUUUCUCAGAAAUAAUUUAAAAAAUAAUUCCAGCCAAACCAUCAACUAGUUUUUUCAGUACAAGAUGCAAUUCAUUUGGCCCUCCAGAUUUAAACUCAUUCCAAGUAAAGAGAUAUUCCCUAAUUAUUUUUCUAUCAGUCUUGGUUAUCAAUCCUGACUCUUUAAUUUCUUUUAUAGGUUUUUGUUGUUGUUGAAGAUUGAACAAAAGUAGAAGUUGAGUACUUAUAUAUUUUACCUAUUAGCAUAUAGUCCUCUUCAUUGAAUAGCUGAUUUACAGAUUUUUUUUUCUUUUCCUUUUACUUUGAGCAUAUACUGUAUGUAACCAUACAGUAUAUAAAGAAACUACAUUCAGUAUACACAAGUUAGUUCCCAUUGCUAUACUGGGAUAGAGAGCUACACCUCUUGGUUUUGUGCCAUUUAUUUCUCUUUCUUCCAGUCUCAGCAUAUUUGUAUACCCAAAAUUUCUUGAGAUUGGGGCAGUUUAUAAAUAAUGUAAUAUAUGUAAAUACAUUGAUAUUAUAUCUGUAUGAUUUUUUUAGCUGUCACUAUUGGAGUCACAUUCUCCAUUGCAAAAAGAUGGAUGCAUGUUUGUUUAGAGCAGAUAUGUACUUUAAAAAUCACUUUGUGAUAAUCCUAUAAACUGCAGUGUCUAACACACUGUUUCUGUGAUUUCCAAUCAAAACAUAGAACUCUGAUUGCUUAGAGAUAAUAAAAUAAUUAUUUUAAUUGAUAAUGUUUGUUUUACAUCUUGUAUAUUUAUUCUUUGAGCUUUUUGUAUCUUUUAAGUACCCACUAAUAACUCCUGAGUAUGACUGAUAUAUAAUUAUAGACAUCCCACAUUUUUGUUGGUUUAUUUACCUGCUCAGUAAAGCAUGUUAGUUCUCACCAAUUUGCCUGUUUCCACCUCCGUUUUAAUUACUAAAUACUUAAUCAAUCCCACACAAAGCCUUUGCUUGUUCUCUCAGGCUCAUGGAGAUAAGGGGAUGGGGUAGGGAAUGCAAAGAUACUGUACCUGCAAUGAAACAUAUUUUUCAUUGACCUUUCCCAAAAAGAUACACAAAACAUUUUUCUGUGAAUGAUGGAACCAUGCAUUUUUUUCACCCAAUAAUGGACUUCGUUCCAAGAAAAUCUCUCAUCAUGUCACUAAAUCCUAGCCUUCCCAACCUGAUGAUCUCAGGAUGUAUCUGGACAGCAACUCAUAAUUUUGAACUAUGGUAUAUGGAAUUAUGGGAUUGAAGUCCUACAGAGGGUGUCAAUUUGGGGAAGGCUGAUUUACACAAAAAAGAGUCUUCUGUGCCAAUAACAUACUUUAGUAGUAGAAAAGGAUGAUUAGAUAGAUAGAUAGAUAGAUAGAUAGAUAGAUAGAUAGAUAGAUAGAUAGAUAGAUGUGAAUAUCUAUUUAUAUAUUUUAUCAUAGAACUUCCCACAGAAAAUCAUGGAGAAUAAGAGGUUUAAGAUCCUGUGGGAUUUCCAGAUCCUGACUGAUAGUUUUGUACUAGUCAAUUAACUAGACAUCAUGGCAGUAGACAAAGACCAGAAGACAGCAGUGAUGAUAGAUCUAGCUGUUCCAAGAUACAUCAGGAAGGAGAUGAGAAGCUGGAGAAGUACCAGACCUUGAAAGAGGAACUAGAGAGGAUGUGCAAAGUAAAGGCCAAAGUGGUCCCAAUGGUGGUAGAAACACUUGGGGCCAAAAAAGUGGAAACCCAUUAAUGCAAAGCUUCAGUAGAUCUCCUAGGCACCUGCAAUUUGCUACAAUGCCAACAAGCAUCAUAUGCUAUGUCUUGUAACAUUACAUACAAGUACAUAAGAAGCAGAGUUCAAGUCAUGACAUCACAAUGCAAGUUUCAUCGCUUUCCUUAUCUGGCCUCUCAUAUGGCUUGAACAGAACCUAACUAUAGUUAAUUUACCAUUUCACUUUAACACUUUAGUUAUUUAAGUAAUUUCCCCAUUCUAUUCUAAAAGCUACAGCCCUAAAGAACAAUUACCGUAUUUUUCAUAAAAUAAUCUUCUUUGUGUUCUUUUUUUUUGUUUAAGAUAAACAUGAUAUACCACCAUGAAGCAUAACAGCAAAGAUGAGAAGCACAGAAAAAGUGAUGGAAAAGAAUGUAACUUGGCAGAAUUAUAGCAUGAACCUAAGAUCUACUGAAAUGGAUAGGUCCUAGCAAAUUGAAUCCAGAACAGGAACUGUGUAAAGCAGCCAAAAGAAGAAUAUGUACCUUAUGCAUUCAAACAUUUGUGAUACAUAAACCUUUUGGGCACUCCACUCUACUUCAUUACAGGAAAAAGCCCAUACAUGUUUUUAUCCUUAAAAGUUCACGAGACACUUGGUGAAUGUGUGUAAUUGGAAGUUGCUCAAACCUCAGACAGGUGGCAAAUUAAUGCACAUAAUUUGUCUGUACUGCAGAGACAUAUUAUGAAUAGAAUAAUUGUCAAGGAAAUAUGCAGUUGGGGAAAUACAUAUCACCAAAAGCCUGUGUGCUCUUCUUUUGUUGAAUAAAAUACAACUUACUGUCAUACUAUGUUGCUCAGCACAGCAAGAACUGCUCUUUAUGUUGAUUAUAUCCCUAUAAAUAAAGGAUCUCUGCAUUGUACUCCAAUAAGAUGUAUUCUGGGUCACUUUUCCUCAAUUUUUAAGUUCUUAUUUCAUUUGUUAACUAUAGGAAAAAAAAGAAAAGAAAAUUUGAUCAUUAACCCAACUCACAUUACAUGGAGGUAGGUUAAGAUUGUUUUUUUCCUACUGCAGUUGAGACUGUGUGGUACAGCUCCAUAUAAUAUGGACUUCUAGAACUGGAAAGGGCUGUUUAGGCCAUUUUGUCUAACCCUCUACUCAAUGCAGGAAUACAGAUUAAAGCUUCCCAGAUGGAUGACUGCCUAGCCAUUUCCUGAACACAUGCCAUAAAAGGAAGCCUACAACUUCUCUGUGCAAUUAUUUUGAUUGUUAAAAUUGUUCUUACUUUUUUUCUUACAUCCAUUAUUCUGUAUUCUGCACUCUGGAAUGAGAGAGAAUAGGUCCUGACCUUAUAUGUAAUAUCUUCCUUGUUAUUUUAAAUGUGUUAACAUACUGUUCUUAGUUUUAAAAGUUAAGAAACCCAGCUCCUUUUAUAUAUUAUAAAUUAUAUAUAUAAUUUCUCUGAAUCUGAGCAUG
This is a long non-coding RNA of Crotalus tigris (Tiger rattlesnake), 4370 nucleotides long. RefSeq lists it as uncharacterized. The record is from RefSeq and is a predicted model, not a curated record. The transcript has 3 exons. NCBI's taxonomy places the organism in Eukaryota, Metazoa, Chordata, Lepidosauria, Squamata, Viperidae.